Molecule: ribosomal RNA, 472 nt
Filed under: uncultured bacterium
Lineage: Bacteria
Description: SSU rRNA
Rfam family: Bacterial small subunit ribosomal RNA
Source: RNAcentral
AGGAUAAACGCUGGCGGCGUGCCUAACACAUGCAAGUCGAACGCGCUUUCGGGCUUCGGUGCGAGAGCGAGUGGCGGACGGGUGAGUAACACAUGGGUACCUACCUUGGAGUGAGGGAUACCGGCGAGAAAUCGCCGACAAUACCGCAUAGGCUUCUUCACAAGGGAAGCAAAGUGACGCGAGUCACGCUGUGAGAUGGGCCUGUGGCCGAUUAGCUAGUUGGGGGGGUAACGGCUUCCCAAGGCGACGAUCGGUAGCUGGUCUGAGAGGACGAUCAGCCACACUGGGAUUGAGAACGGCCCAGACUCCUACGGGGGGCAGCAGUGAGGAAUUUUCCGCAAUGGAGGCAACUCUGACGGAGCAACGCCGCGUGCAGGAGGAAGGUUUUCGGAUCGUAAACUGCUUUUCUCGGGGACGAGCAAGGACGGUACCCGAGGAAGAAGCCCCGGCUAACGUACGUGCCAGCAGCCGC